RNAcentral lists this ribosomal RNA (485 nucleotides) under uncultured bacterium. RNAcentral describes it as "bacterial SSU rRNA". It matches the Rfam family "Bacterial small subunit ribosomal RNA", at positions 15 to 507 of the family's 1533-position model. The record is from RNAcentral.
GAUCAUGGCUCAGGAUGAACGCUGGCGGUAUGCCUAACACAUGCAAGUCGUACGAGAGUUUUUAACUCUAGUGGCGGACGGGUGAGUAACACGUGAGAAUUUGCCUUUAGGAGGGGAUAACAAUUGGAAACGAAUGCUAAUACCGCAUAUUCUGUGAGCAGGAAAGCAGGGGAUCGCAAGACCUUGCGCUGAUUGAGCGGCCGAUAUCAGAUUAGCUAGUUGGUGGGGUAAAGGCCUACCAAGGCUACGAUCUGUAGCGGGUCUGAGAGGAUGAUCCGCCACACUGGAACUGAGACACGGUCCAGACUCCUACGGGAGGCAGCAGUGGGGAAUUUUGGACAAUGGACGCAAGUCUGAUCCAGCCAUUCCGCGUGCAGGACGAAGGCCUUCGGGUUGUAAACUGCUUUUGUACAGAACGAAAAGGUCUCUAUUAAUACUAGGGGCUCAUGACGGUACUGUAAGAAUAAGCACCGGCUAACUACGUG